Molecule: small RNA, 144 nt
Filed under: Pseudoxanthobacter soli DSM 19599
Lineage: Bacteria; Pseudomonadati; Pseudomonadota; Alphaproteobacteria; Hyphomicrobiales; Segnochrobactraceae
Description: Alphaproteobacterial sRNA ar45
Rfam family: Alphaproteobacterial sRNA ar45
Source: Rfam by way of RNAcentral
GCCCAAUUUCGCACGUGCCUGUGGUCGCGUGCCGGUCAGGUCGGAACCCCCGACCUGGGCAGACCGGUGACCGGAGUUAAACCGGGUCUAAGCCGAGGCUCUCUCGGCGGACGCGACUUGAAGCAACGACGUAGCAGGGCUUUU